Non-coding RNA from Bombyx mori (domestic silkworm), 84 nucleotides. The record is from Rfam. Lineage: Eukaryota; Metazoa; Arthropoda; Insecta; Lepidoptera; Bombycidae.
AAUACACAAAUUUGUAUGAACCUGGAGCGUUUGCCUAUGUUGGCCGCUAGGGGCGCUGUUCCAACUCCAUACAAAUUUGAGUUA